UACGUAGGGCGCGAGCGUUGUCCGGAAUUAUUGGGCGUAAAGAGCUCGUAGGUGGCCUGUUGCGUCUGCCGUGAAAGCCCGUGGCUUAACUACGGGUCUGCGGUGGAUACGGGCAGGCUAGAGGCUGGUAGGGGCAAGCGGAAUUCCUGGUGUAGCGGUGAAAUGCGCAGAUAUCAGGAGGAACACCGGCGGCGAAGGCGGCUUGCUGGGCCAGUACUGACGCUGAGGAGCGAAAGCGUGGGGAGCAAACAGG
This 253-nucleotide ribosomal RNA is filed under the name uncultured bacterium. RNAcentral's name for it is "partial 16S ribosomal RNA". It matches the Rfam family "Bacterial small subunit ribosomal RNA", at positions 524 to 776 of the family's 1533-position model. The record is from RNAcentral.